CUGGUUAUUUCUCGAUCCAGUUUCUUUGUUGCUAUGGAAAAGCAGUCCUCAACCAAAGGCUGACGUCUCUCAAGCCCUUCUCAAAGAAGGCACGGAGGCAAAGAAAGGUGUGGAGAGAAGGGUCGUGGAUGAUCUGAAAUAGAGUGUUUCUGGAUAGGGCUCUCAGGGAAACCUAUACAGGGAGAUUGAUAGCGCUGGAGGGACCCCUGGCCUCCUCCAGAGGCCACUGUGAUCUCAUUUCCGCCUCCUCGGUCCAUCUGCUCUUCUACGUCUCCUCCAAGCCUACCUUUACAUGAUGCAGAAAUUGGUCAUUGGUCAUGCUAUCUGCAUCUCUUGUGUGCUUCCUUUCUCAUGGAAGCUAUUGAAGUAAGGCAUCAUUAUUACAUGAGAGUGGCCUUUCCCAGAAUCCCAGGCUUUUUCCCAUGAAACUUUAUAUGCUGUAAGAACCAGAGUCCACAUCAGUCAUCCUUAACAAGAUGUGGGAACCCAACUAUGGGCCUAUUUGGCAGGCAGAAAAAUCUCCUUCAAAACAAAUGGUAAACAAACAUUAUGAAAAUGCUUUUUUAGCAUUGGUGACACAAAUUUAGGAUAUUCAACCGUGUCUCAUAUUAAAAUUUUAUUCUCUUUUUAGAUAUCAUCCCAGUAAUUAUAUAACAUUCCAUUAUGAGUGUAGUUC
Molecule: long non-coding RNA, 676 nt
Organism: Myotis lucifugus (little brown bat)
Lineage: Eukaryota; Metazoa; Chordata; Mammalia; Chiroptera; Vespertilionidae
Exons: 3
Source: RefSeq, a predicted model, not a curated record